ACCAAGGCAAUGAUGCGUAGCCGAACUGAGAGGUUGAUCGGCCACAUUGGGACUGAGACACGGCCCAAACUCCUACGGGAGGCAGCAGUAGGGAAUCUUCCACAAUGGGCGAAAGCCUGAUGGAGCAACGCCGCGUGGGUGAAGAAGGUCUUCGGAUCGUAAAACCCUGUUGUUAGAGAAGAAAGUGCGUGAGAGUAACUGUUCACGUUUCGACGGUAUCUAACCAGAAAGCCACGGCUAACUACGUGCCAGCAGCCGCGGUAAUACGUAGGUGGCAAGCGUUAUCCGGAUUUAUUGGGCGUAAAGGGAACGCAGGCGGUCUUUUAAGUCUGAUGUGAAAGCCUUCGGCUUAACCGGAGUAGUGCAUUGGAAACUGGGAGACUUGAGUGCAGAAGAGGAGAGUGGAACUCCAUGUGUAGCGGUGAAAUGCGUAGAUAUAUGGAAGAACACCAGUGGCGAAAGCGGCUCUCUGGUCUGUAACUGACGCUGAGGUUCGAAAGCGUGGGUAGCAAACAGGAUUAGAUACCCUGGUAGUCCACGCCGU
Molecule: ribosomal RNA, 544 nt
Filed under: uncultured bacterium
Lineage: Bacteria
Description: bacterial SSU rRNA
Rfam family: Bacterial small subunit ribosomal RNA
Source: RNAcentral